CUACGGGCGGCAGCAGUGAGGAAUUUUGCGCAAUGGGGGGAACCCUGACGCAGCAACGCCGCGUGAGUGAUGAAGGCUUUCGGGUCGUAAAGCUCUGUCAAGUGGGAAGAACCUAUGCAGUGUUAAUAUCACUGUAUACUGACGGUACCACUGAAGGAAGCACCGGCUAACUCCGUGCCAGCAGCCGCGGUAAUACGGGGGGUGCAAGCGUUAUUCGGAAUCAUUGGGCGUAAAGGGCACGUAGGCGGCUUGGUAAGUCAGAUGUGAAAGCCCGGGGCUUAACCCCGGAAGUGCAUUUGAUACUGUCAGGCUUGAGUAUGGGAGAGGGAAGCGGAAUUCCUGGUGUAGAGGUGAAAUUCGUAGAUAUCAGGAGGAACACCUGUGGCGAAGGCGACUUUCUGGACCAAUACUGACGCUGAGGCGCGAAGGCGUGGGUAGCAAACAGGAUUAGAUACCCGAGUAGUC
Molecule: ribosomal RNA, 465 nt
Filed under: uncultured bacterium
Lineage: Bacteria
Description: partial 16S ribosomal RNA
Rfam family: Bacterial small subunit ribosomal RNA
Source: RNAcentral